CUGGAUAUAGCUCAAUCGGUAAGAGCAUCAGACUCGUAAUCUGACGGUCGCGGGUUCGACUCCCGCUAUCCCAA
This 74-nucleotide transfer RNA is filed under the name Acidobacteriota bacterium. RNAcentral describes it as "Acidobacteria bacterium (hot springs metagenome) tRNA-Thr". It matches the Rfam family "tRNA". From Rfam's summary of the family: Transfer RNA (tRNA) molecules are approximately 80 nucleotides in length. Their secondary structure includes four short double-helical elements and three loops (D, anti-codon, and T loops). Lineage: Bacteria; Pseudomonadati; Acidobacteriota. The record is from RNAcentral.